AGCCUACUCCCUCCGUUCCAGAUACAUGCCUUUUAUUUGUCAAAAUAUAGAUGUAUCUAGACAUAUUUUAGUAUACAGAUACAUUUAUUUUUGGACAAAUGAAAAUCAAGUAUUUUAAAACGGAGGGAGUAGUUC
Triticum aestivum (bread wheat) is the source of this 135-nucleotide non-coding RNA. The record is from Rfam. NCBI's taxonomy places the organism in Eukaryota, Viridiplantae, Streptophyta, Magnoliopsida, Poales, Poaceae.